AGCAGCCGCGGUAAUUCCAGCUCCAAUAGCGUAUAUUAAAGUUGUUGCAGUUAAAAAGCUCGUAGUUGAAUUUCGGGGUUAGUAGAUUGGUCGUGCCUCCGGUAUGUACUGGUCUUACUGAUUCCUCCUUCUUGAAGAACUGUAAUGCCAUUAAUUUGGUGUUAUGGGGAAUCUGGACUGUUACUUUGAAAAAAUUAGAGUGUUUAAAGCAGGCUAACGCUUGAAUACAUUAGCAUGGAAUAAUGAAAUAGGACGAUCGAUCCUAUUUUGUUGGUUUCUAGGAUUGACGUAAUGAUUAAUAGGGAUAGUUGGGGCAUUAGUAUUCAAUUGUCAGAGGUGAAAUUCUUGGAUUUAUGAAGACUAACUACUG
Molecule: ribosomal RNA, 370 nt
Filed under: uncultured Glomus
Lineage: Eukaryota; Fungi; Glomeromycota; Glomeromycetes; Glomerales; Glomeraceae
Description: SSU rRNA
Rfam family: Eukaryotic small subunit ribosomal RNA
Source: RNAcentral